This 304-nucleotide ribosomal RNA is filed under the name uncultured bacterium. Its description in RNAcentral is "partial 16S ribosomal RNA". It matches the Rfam family "Bacterial small subunit ribosomal RNA", at positions 506 to 807 of the family's 1533-position model. The record is from RNAcentral.
CAGCAGCCGCCGCGGUAAUACAGAGGGUGCGAGCGUUAAUCGGAUUUACUGGGCGUAAAGCGUGCGUAGGCGGCUUCUUAAGUCGGAUGUGAAAUCCCUGAGCUUAACUUAGGAAUUGCAUUCGAUACUGGGAAGCUAGAGUAUGGGAGAGGAUGGUAGAAUUCCAGGUGUAGCGGUGAAAUGCGUAGAGAUCUGGAGGAAUACCGAUGGCGAAGGCAGCCAUCUGGCCUAAUACUGACGCUGAGGUACGAAAGCAUGGGGAGCAAACAGGAUUAGAGACCCCAGUAGUCCCUGUCUCUUAUAC